Molecule: unclassified non-coding RNA, 812 nt
Filed under: Hevea brasiliensis (rubber tree)
Lineage: Eukaryota; Viridiplantae; Streptophyta; Magnoliopsida; Malpighiales; Euphorbiaceae
Source: RNAcentral
CGACAAUCGCUGUCUUCGAUAGCCUCUUUUUACUGUUCUUCGCUAAUAUCUCGAAGAAAACCAUUUUAUGGCAAAUCAUGGAUGAAACAGCUUAAACCUACAAUACAGAAUCCGUGUUCAAAAUUUCAGUGUAAAAUGAACAUUCACACACAAUAUGUUCGUAAUGUGUAUUUAUCAGGAAGCAUCCUUGGUGUUUCAUUUAUGAUUGGAUCUAUAGGCUUUUCGCAUCAGGUUGUGUAUGCCAUGGAUGGACAAGACAUUUUGGUGGAUGAUAGAGAGUUUUUAGAUGCCUCAGAUACAGAAAGAAAUCCUCCUAUGUUAUGGAUUUUUGUCAGAAAAUUAUGGCUACCUGCUUUUUUCUUUCUGACAGUGUUGGUGAAUUGGGAUCAUCCCAUCAUUCUUUUGACUAAAGUUGCCCUUUUCCUCCUCAGCACGAAGCCCAGCCCUUUAUCAGUUUAUGUAUUUGUUGAACAGUUGUGUCAUCAAUCUAUGCGCCAAGAACCCUACUUGUACUUACUAAAGUCAUUAUAUGCCAACAAAGUUGAAGUCCAGGAUUACAAACUUUUCUGCCUUGCCACGGUUGCAGUAAAAGGCCAGACAAUUACUUUGGUUGGCGUUCUUGGUGGUUGGUGGGUUUUGCCAUUGUCAGAAAGAGCAUUUUCUGUGUUUUGGGAUAGUGCUUUUUAUUGAGAAAAUAAGGUAACUUAACUGCUGAAAAAAAUUUGUUGCUAAUCAACAUUGAAGGCAUGAUGUUUGGCUUUUGAAUUAGUUGAAUUACCUUUAAAAAAAGUUGCUGUUCAUUUCCCUAGUCC